Molecule: transfer RNA, 67 nt
Filed under: Marmota monax (woodchuck)
Lineage: Eukaryota; Metazoa; Chordata; Mammalia; Rodentia; Sciuridae
Description: tRNA.Ser
Source: RNAcentral
GGUUAUGGCUCAGCGGUAGAGCGCUUGCCUCGAAUGUGCAAGGCCCUGGGUUCGAUCCUCAGCACCA